GGUAUUUUGACCGUGCAAAGGUAGCAUAAUCAUUAGUUUUUUAAUUGAAAGCUGGAAUGAAAGGUUGGAUGAAAAAUAAGCUGUCUCUAUUUAAAUUUAUUAGAAUUUUAUUUUUAAGUUAAAAAGCUUAAAUUUUAAUAGAAGACGAGAAGACCCUAUAGAGUUUUAUUUAUUUUAUAGAUAAAAAUAAUAGUAUUGAUCAUUUUUGUCUGUAAGAUAAAUUUAGUUGGGGUGAUUGAAAAAUUUAAUAAACUUUUUUUAUAUAUAUACAUUAAUUUAUGAUUAUUUGAUCCUUAGUUUAAGAUUAAAAGAUAAAAUUACCUUAGGGAUAACAGCGUAAUUUUUUUUGAGAGUUCUAAUCGAAAGAAAAGAUUGCGACCUCGAUGUUGGAUUAAAAUAAAAUUUUGGUGUAGAAGCUAAAA
This 422-nucleotide ribosomal RNA is filed under the name Laparocerus semipilosus. RNAcentral describes it as "partial 16S ribosomal RNA". The record is from RNAcentral. Lineage: Eukaryota; Metazoa; Arthropoda; Insecta; Coleoptera; Curculionidae.